RNAcentral lists this ribosomal RNA (465 nucleotides) under uncultured bacterium. RNAcentral's name for it is "partial 16S ribosomal RNA". It matches the Rfam family "Bacterial small subunit ribosomal RNA", at positions 28 to 507 of the family's 1533-position model. The record is from RNAcentral.
GACGAACGCUGGCGGCGUGCUUAACACAUGCGAGUCGAACGGAAAGGCCCUGCUUGCAGGGUACUCGAGUGGCGAACGGGUGAGUAACACGUGGGUGAUCUGCCCUGCACUUCGGGAUAAGCCUGGGAAACUGGGUCUAAUACCGGAUAGGAGCCAUUUUUAGUGUGAUGGUUGGAAAGUUUUUUCGGUGUAGGAUGAGCUCGCGGCCUAUCAGCUUGUUGGUGGGGUAAUGGCCUACCAAGGCGGCGACGGGUAGCCGGCCUGAGAGGGUGGACGGCCACAUUGGGACUGAGAUACGGCCCAGACUCCUACGGGAGGCAGCAGUGGGGAAUAUUGCACAAUGGGCGCAAGCCUGAUGUAGCGACGCCGCGUGGGGGAUGACGGCCUUCGGGUUGUAAACUCCUUUCGCUAGGGACGAAGCUUUUUGUGACGGUACCUAGAUAAGAAGCACCGGCUAACUACGUG